UUCUUGCACGGCUUUCGGUAGUUUGCUAUUACUGUUUUCUAUUUAACAAAAAUUAAUGGAUUCUUCUUCUGAAGAAGCCGAUUAUGAUAUUGUCGGCAAUAACAAUGAGGUACAACCUCACAUGUUUGAGCCUUUGGCCAACGCGCAAGGUGGUCAUAGUAAUGACAAUUCUUCGUCAUCGGAAAGCGAAGAUGAAUACAUUCACAGAAUUGGAAAUGUUGAAUGGUGCGAGUGUGGCUUUUGUGUGGUCAUGAGUACAGGACGGGAAAGUAUAUGUUGCCAAGAGGUAAACAGCACUGAUCCUCUGAUACAUGGCGAUCAUAUUUGCAUCACACAAGAGGAAGAGUUUGCCACAGUAUGUACAAACGAAGCUGUCUUAAAAACAGCUAUGGUCGGCGUACACACAUGACAUUGGACCUAUGCCUGAGAGUAAAGAAAACGAAGCAUUACGCUACACGGCGUACCGACAGUGGACGGCUUGGGUGCAUGGCAGGUUGGGAAAAAAGUACCGACUACCCAUACCUUCUUGUGCUGUGGACAAAAUCCGGAAAGCAUUUCCUUCGCCUUCUGGAGAAUACAAAGGAUUUGAAUAUGCUCAACACUACUGAAUGCGAGAUUUAUGUUGCUUAAUGGCUUCAGCUUUGCUGAUUUUUAAUUUGUGGUGAGUCAAUGGGACAGGUAUUUCUUUCACUCCAGCGACAUCAAGAGCUUUGGACAGUGAUGGAUUAAUGCGUCUGCAGUACAAAACUUCUUUCAUCAAGUCCUUAACAUAUCCUGAAAAGCAAAUCAUUAUUUAUGUUGGCUUUGCAUUGCACUUUGAGAAAAGGCUCUAACAUAUCAUGUUCACAUUUUGGGAAUACAUCACUAUGUCCCUAAUGGAUGUCACAUAUAUGACUGAAAACUGACAACCACUUUGCCUUGACAAGUUCUUCAUCACCAUUGCUGGAAGCAGCACACCAGUAUACAUGGUUGGAAAUUGAUUGGGCCCAAUCCGACAAUAAUUUGCAAACACUUUUUUUGAUGCUGCCAAAAUUUUCUUUUUGAUUCCUGUUGGAAUUUGAUUAUUGAUGAAAUGUGUAAAAGGAUUUGAUUUGAGCAUGUCUGUCUGUGUUCAUUGACUUCACCUUCAUCCCACUUUCAUCAAACUUUGCCAGACAUCUCUUUAAUCCCUCAAGUUCCAUUGCUCCAGAGUUCGUCACUUCAUUGGACUAUGUAACAUAAUUAUAUUCCAAAUCCAUGCAGCUAUAUGACCCAUACUUGGCACAAUAUCCAGGCGAAUCACAUCUUCC
This is a long non-coding RNA of Xenia sp. Carnegie-2017, 1289 nucleotides long. RefSeq lists it as uncharacterized. NCBI's taxonomy places the organism in Eukaryota, Metazoa, Cnidaria, Anthozoa, Malacalcyonacea, Xeniidae. The record is from RefSeq and is a predicted model, not a curated record. The transcript has 7 exons.